Molecule: ribosomal RNA, 301 nt
Filed under: uncultured bacterium
Lineage: Bacteria
Description: partial 16S ribosomal RNA
Rfam family: Bacterial small subunit ribosomal RNA
Source: RNAcentral
CAGCAGCCGCGGUAAUACGAAGGGGGCUAGCGUUGUUCGGAAUCACUGGGCGUAAAGGGUGCGUAGGCGGGAUCUUAAGUCAGGGGUGAAAUCCCGAGGCUCAACCUCGGAACUGCCUUUGAUACUGGGGUCCUUGAGUCCGGAAGAGGUGAGUGGAACUGCGAGUGUAGAGGUGAAAUUCGUAGAUAUUCGCAAGAACACCGGUGGCGAAGGCGGCUCACUGGUCCGGAACUGACGCUGAGGCACGACAGCGUGGGGAGCAAACAGGAUUAGAUACCCCCGUAGUCCCUGUCUCUUAUAC